Molecule: ribosomal RNA, 469 nt
Filed under: uncultured bacterium
Lineage: Bacteria
Description: partial 16S ribosomal RNA
Rfam family: Bacterial small subunit ribosomal RNA
Source: RNAcentral
GACGAACGCUGGCGGCGUGCUUAACACAUGCAAGUCGAACGGAAAGGCCCUGCUUGCAGGGUGCUCGAGUGGCGAACGGGUGAGUAACACGUGGGUGAUCUGCCCCUUACUUUGGGAUAAGCCUGGGAAACUGGGUCUAAUACUGGAUAGGACCAUGCUGUAGGUGGUGUGGUGGAAAGAUUAGUUUCGGUAAGGGAUGAGCUCGCGGCCUAUCAGCUUGUUGGUGGGGUAAUGGCCUACCAAGGCGUCGACGGGUAGCCGGCCUGAGAGGGUGGACGGCCACAUUGGGACUGAGAUGCGGCCCAGACUCGUACGGGAGGCAGCAGUGGGGAAUAUUGCACAAUGGGCGCAAGCCUGAUGCAGCGACGCCGCGUGGGGGAUGACGGCCUUCGGGUUGUAAACUCCUUUCAGCCAUGACGAAGCCCUUGUGGUGACGGUAGUGGUAGAAGAAGCACCGGCUAACUACGUG